AGAUUGAACGCUGGCGGCAGGCCUAACACAUGCAAGUCGAGCGGAAACAGAGAGUAACUUGUUACUUUGCUGUCGAGCGGCGGACGGGUGAGUAAUGCUUGGGAAACUGCCCAGUCGAGGGGGACAACCAUUGGAAACGAUGGCUAAUACCGCAUACGCCCUACGGGGGAAAGAAGGGGACUCUUCGGAGCCUUUCGCGAUUGGAUGUGCCCAAGUGGGAUUAGCUAGUUGGUGAGGUAAAGGCUCACCAAGGCAACGAUCCCUAGCUGGUUUGAGAGGAUGAUCAGCCACACUGGAACUGAGACACGGUCCAGACUCCUACGGGAGGCAGCAGUGGGGAAUAUUGCACAAUGGGCGCAAGCCUGAUGCAGCCAUGCCGCGUGUAUGAAGAAGGCCUUCGGGUUGUAAAGUACUUUCAGCGAGGAGGAAAGGUUAGCAGUUAAUAACUGCUAGCUGUGACGUUACUCGCAGAAGAAGGACCGGCUAACUCCGUGCCAGCAGCCGCGGUAAUACGGAGGGUCCGAGCGUUAAUCGGAAUUACUGGGCGUAAAGCGUACGCAGGCGGUUUGUUAAGCGAGAUGUGAAAGCCCCGGGCUCAACCUGGGAACUGCAUUUCGAACUGACAAACUAGAGUUUUGUAGAGGGUGGUAGAAUUUCAGGUGUAGCGGUGAAAUGCGUAGAGAUCUGAAGGAAUACCAGUGGCGAAGGCGGCCACCUGGACAAUAACUGACGCUCAUGUACGAAAGCGUGGGGAGCAAACGGGAUUAGAUACCCCGGUAGUCCACGCCGUAAACGAUGUCAACUAGCCGACUGAAUCCUUGAGAUUUGGGUGGCGCAGCUAACGCAUUAAGUUGACCGCCUGGGGAGUACGGCCGCAAGGUUA
This 883-nucleotide ribosomal RNA is filed under the name uncultured bacterium. RNAcentral's name for it is "bacterial SSU rRNA". It matches the Rfam family "Bacterial small subunit ribosomal RNA", at positions 26 to 896 of the family's 1533-position model. The record is from RNAcentral.